UGCUGAAGGCAUCAUGAACCAUGUAGGCACCUUUAUGGUUGAUGAAGGUGCCUUAAUUAAAUGAAUGCACCUUCAUGGUUGAUGAAGGCGCCUUUGAUGAAGAAACCUGGAAGGAAGGAACCUGGAAGGAAGGUGCCUUCAUCAAAUUAUCAAGCUGGAAGGAACCUAGAAGGAAGGAACCUGAAAGGAAAGAAAAAACUUGGAAGAAAGGAACC
RNAcentral lists this long non-coding RNA (215 nucleotides) under Elaeis guineensis (African oil palm). RNAcentral describes it as "long non-coding RNA (EGUI_LNC042281)". Lineage: Eukaryota; Viridiplantae; Streptophyta; Magnoliopsida; Arecales; Arecaceae. The record is from RNAcentral.